RNAcentral lists this unclassified non-coding RNA (387 nucleotides) under uncultured fungus. RNAcentral describes it as "partial contains 5.8S ribosomal RNA and internal transcribed spacer 2". The stretch from base 1 to 133 matches the Rfam family "5.8S ribosomal RNA", at positions 22 to 154 of the family's 154-position model. The record is from RNAcentral. Lineage: Eukaryota; Fungi.
UGGCUCUCCCAUCGAUGAAGAACGCAGCGAAAUGCGAUAAGUAAUGUGAAUUGCAGAAUUCAGUGAAUCAUCGAAUCUUUGAACGCACCUUGCGCCCUUUGGUAUUCCGAAGGGCAUGCCUGUUUGAGUGUCAUUAAAUUCUCAACCUUAUAGACUUUAUUGUUUUGUAAGGCUUGGAUGUGAGGGUUAUUGCUGGCUUCCUUAAGUGCGAUGGUCAGCUCCCUUGAAAUGCAUUAGUGGAAUCCUUUGUGGAUCGUCACUGAGUGUGAUAAUUAUUGUGCUCUUUGACCCUGAAGCAAUACUAUAUGGAAUCUGCUUAUAACCGUCCAUUUACUUGGACAAUUUACUUGACAAUUUGACCUCAAAUCAGGUAGGACUACCCGCUGA